AAAAGAAAAAGGGGUGAAAAGAACAAAGUUUUGUCCAUCUUUGUUCAUCAUAUCCGAAAGUUAGAGAAGAGAAAGGAGAGGAGAAAGCUCUUGAAUGUUUGGUCACUUGGGGAAGAAAAUUGAAGGCGGUUCGUGUGUGGAUCUUGUCAGCAUAUCGUCGCAAACAGCUGAGCCUUGAUGUGGGUGACUUGGAGCCAGAGGGGA
Molecule: long non-coding RNA, 204 nt
Organism: Gossypium arboreum
Lineage: Eukaryota; Viridiplantae; Streptophyta; Magnoliopsida; Malvales; Malvaceae
Exons: 3
Source: RefSeq, a predicted model, not a curated record